GGAACAAAGGGGGUAAAGGCAAUUACUUUUAGAGGGGGGGAGAGAAGGAAAAAGGAAGAGGAUGCGAAUGGAGGGCCGUGCAACAGCUUGCUCAGUGACACGGCAUUCUGGAACGAGCAUUCUGGAACCAGAAUCCUCCUUCGGGGCGGGGAGGCACGCCACCUCCAGAUCUUUCUGGAGCCAUGAUGGGGUUACCUCCUGAUAAACUGGUCCUAAAUGGAAACUCGAAUCAGGAGAGUAUCCUGCUGUUGUAAAUCAAUAGCCCAGGAGAAGAUCAAAAUCCCAAAUUUGAAGUCUGGUUUCCACUGAAUGCUUGUUGCUUUUGUACCAUCCUCAAUUCAAAAAAAUCGUAAGUCGAACGGUGGUUAAGUCAGGGACCAUCUGGAAUGCGUUGAGUAUUGGCCCGAUUGACAACUUGGGGGAAGCGGGUCCAGAGGGGUCGUUUGGUUCAUUGACAGCGCUGGAGGUUUGCCUGACCCCAAUGGUCAUGUUCUUAAUCUUAUAAUAUUGCCUGCGUUUUUUAUUGUAGGGUGAUUGCCUCAUUUGGCACAUUACGACUUUGUAGGGUACAGGAAUACCUGACAUUGCCACAGCCCUGUGAUUUAGGUAUUCCCACCAUUUUACAAGGAGGAAACAAGAUCACAGAAGUUGCACCUUGCACAAGCAUAUAAAUAUUGCAAGGGAAACUUGGGUGGUCCAUUCACUUACUACCAGAGGUGAUCUUGGGCAGGUCAUAAAACUCUUGGAGGCUUGUCUCAUUAUAAAUUGGUGACCCCCCCCCAAAAAAAAAUAAAAUAAAAUAAAAAAUAAAAAUAAAUUGGUGACCCAUUCAUUUAGCAUUCAUUGGACACUACUGAACAUGGACCACUGGUCACUAGAUGAAAAUUACCUUGUCCAUAAUGAGUGUAUGGGAAAUCUGCAUCUUCCUCUUAAUGUUGCUGUGAAUCUAAAACUGCUCUAAAAAUAGUCUUAAAAAAAAACCCCAAAAACCAAAAACAGCCUCUGCCCUAAAGAAGUUCUAAUAGUAACUCUGCCACAGUGGUGACGAUUAGCUUUUCCACCUAAUGAGUGCUCAUAAUAGUGAUACUUAAAACCACAGUGGUGGGAUGCCCGUGUGGCUUGGUCGGUUAAGCGUCCGACUUCGGCUCAGGUCAUGAUCUCAAGACUAGGAAGUUCCAGCCCCACAUCGGGCUCUGUGCUGACAGCUCAGAGCCCGGAGCCUGCUUCAGGUUCUGUGUCUCCCUCUCUCUCUACCCCUCCCCCAGUCGUGCUCUGUCUCUCUCUCAAAAAUAAACAAACAUUAAAAAAAAAAAAAAUCACAGUGGAGACCACAUAUGGUAUGAUCCUGAUUAUAGGAAAUGUCCAGAAUAGGCAAAUCUGUAGAGACAGAAAAUAUAUUAGUGGUUGCUUACAGCUAGGGGUAGGGGAAAUGGGGAGUUGACAGCUAAUGGGUGUAGGCGAUGAAAACGUUCUAAAAUUAAUUGUGAUGGUUGCACAAAUCUGUGAAUGUGCUGAAAAUCAUUGAAUUGUACCCUUGAAAUGGGCGAAUGGUAUGGUUAUGUGAGUUCCAUGUCAAUAAAGCUGUUACCUAAAUAAAUAAAUAAAUAAAUAAAUAAAUAAAUAAAAGGCUUUUGAGAUAAGGUGGUGGGGUGCUGGGGUUUAACUGUUCUGGAGGAGAAUCCAAAAAAACACCAAGGGAUCUGAUGCUUGAGCUGAGUGGCCUUUAAGAAAUACGUAUACUAUUUAUAAUCUACAGAAAAGCAUAAGAUAAAAAAUAAAAUCACUCUAACACUAUCACCAAAACAUCACUAUUUUUAUCUCUUUAUUUGAAAUUAUUUUAUAAAAUUACAUACGGUGAAUAUAUAUAUGUGUGUGUGUGUCUUCUUCACUUACUAUAUAUCUGAUUUAAUGAAAUUGGGAAGGAGAGCAUUUGAAAUCAUGGCUUUUCAUGGUUUUAUAUUAUAACAUAGCCUAUUUUAUGGGUAAACCAUAAUUUAUUUUCUCUCUCCCUGUUGUUGGCUGUAUUGUUUCUAAUUUUAGAUGUGACAAUACUAUUGUGAAUAUGCUUUCAUUCAUUUGUCAAUAGCUCUGUACUGAGACCCUUCUGUGUGCUGGGGGAGGAAUGGGAAGAAGAUUGAUCAGGGGGCCACUGACCCCUCAGUCAUCCUUUGUUGAAGCAGUUCUCAGAAGACUCAUAACUAGUAACCAUGUUAACUGAAAAACAGGGCAGAGAGCUGGAGGAUAAACAGCACAACGUCCUCACAUAAAGAAGCAACCCUCCCGAUCAUACGGAAUUUCAAGGAGGUUACGGCGUUUUUUGUUUGUUUUUUUU
Long non-coding RNA from Felis catus (domestic cat), 2332 nucleotides. RefSeq lists it as uncharacterized. The transcript has 3 exons. The record is from RefSeq and is a predicted model, not a curated record. Lineage: Eukaryota; Metazoa; Chordata; Mammalia; Carnivora; Felidae.